Molecule: long non-coding RNA, 590 nt
Organism: Canis lupus familiaris (dog)
Lineage: Eukaryota; Metazoa; Chordata; Mammalia; Carnivora; Canidae
Exons: 3
Source: RefSeq, a predicted model, not a curated record
CAAACUCCUCCCUUCUGUGCCCUUCUAGCUCUCCUCCUCCUCACCACCAAGCUUCUUCAAAGGGCUCUAUUGGCUAUCUCUACUUCCUAGCCUCCCACUCACUCCUCAACCCAGAACAAUCUGGCUUCCAUCCUACCACUCCACUGAAACUACACUUGCAAGAGAUACUUUACUUGAGCUCAAAAGACUGGAAAUACUGUGCCGGAACAGGCCUCUGCUGUUGACCACUGCAGCUCAGGGCCUGGUGCACGAUUUCUAUAACCCUCGCUCUGGUGCUCCACCAAGUAAGUUAGAAAACAUCGAAGUUCAGUCAAGUUUCAAAGAUGAUGCUGAUUGUCAGUAAAGCUGGAGAAACACUGAGUUAAGUUUCCAGAAGAUAAGAAUGUUACUGGACUUUAUAACUUUGGGGUUGACAUAAAUGCCUGCAAACUUCACUGCUGAACACACUGAUGGAGAUAAAUCAAUGAAAUUGUCAUUUUUCUUAUAAAAUGUUUUCCUUUACUUACAAUGAUCUGAUUGUACAAACAUUUCUAAAAUUUACCUGAGAAUAUCACAAAGAAAUUUCACACUCAAGAUUUAUAAAAGAAAGG